Molecule: ribosomal RNA, 1303 nt
Filed under: uncultured soil eukaryote
Lineage: Eukaryota
Description: SSU rRNA
Rfam family: Eukaryotic small subunit ribosomal RNA
Source: RNAcentral
CGGUCGACUACGCCGAACGUCUUCCUUUCGCCUAAAGAUUAAAACAUGCAUAUUUAGAGGCCCACCCUAGCACGGUGGUCCUGGUGGAUGGCUCCAUAAUAAAAUACUAGACUACCCGACUGUGAGAAUCUAAGCGGAUACCUUUUGUAACCAAAAGCUAAUACGGGAAGCAACUGCCCGCCUCUGGCGUGCUGCUCGCGUUGGCUGAAACCAACCCCCUCGUGGGCCCUGGUGAAUCACAACGUCAAGCGUGGCUCCCUCGUGGAGCCGAGUCGGUCGUGGUUUUUCCUUAUUAGGUUUCGAUGGUAGGGUAUUGGCCUACCAUGCCGAUAAUGAGUAACGGGGGUUUUGGGACCGGCUCCGGAGAAAAAGCCUGAGAGACGGCUUUUAGACCUAUGGGUUGCAGCAGUUGCGAAACUUGCCCAAUGCUCCCUGAGCGAGGCAGUGACAGGCUAUAUCAAAGCGCGGCUCUUCGAGUCGUGCUAUUGGCAUGAGUCCGGUUCAAAUCCCCUAAUGAGGAUCUAGUCGAGGGCAAGUCUGGUGCCAGCAGCCGCGGUAAUUCCAGCUCGACGAAGGAACACGAUCUUUGUUGCAGUUAAAAAGCUCGUAGUUGAACCUCUGCGCUCGGGCGUGGGGUGCGGGGGCAACCUCGCGCUCACCGACCGAGCGCAUGCUCGGGGCGGGGCGGGCUCCCGCGAGGGGGUCCGUUCCUUAGCCCCGUACGUUACUGUGAACAAAACGGAUCGUUCAUGGAAGGUUUUUAGCCUGAACGACUCGCACGGAAUAACACUCAAGGACUUCCGUCCUUUUCGUUGGUUUGGGAUGGGGGUUUGGUUAACAGGAACAGCUGGGGGUAUUUGUACUGUCGUGCUAGAGGUGAAAUUCUUGGAUUACGACAUGACAAACGACCGCGAAGGCAUUUACCAAGGAUGUUUUCAUUAAUCAAGAACGAAAGUUCGGGGAUCGAAGAUGAUUAGAUACCAUCGUAGUCCGAACCGUAAACGAUGCCGACUCGGGAUUCCGGCGUGCUGUCGCGGCUGCCGGGGCACCGUAUGAGAAAUCAAAGUCUGAGGGUUCCGGGGGGAGUAUGGCCGCAAGACUGAAACUUAAAGAGAUUGACGGAAGGGCACACCAGUAGUGGAGCCUGCGGUUUAAUUUGACCCAACACGGGGAAACUUACCAGGCCCAGACAUGAGAAGGAUUGACAGUUUGAGAGCACUUUCUUGAUUUUAUGGGUUGUGGUGCAUGGCCGUUCUUAGUUGGUGGAGUGAUUUGUCUGGUUGAUUCCGAUAACGAACGAGAC